RNAcentral lists this ribosomal RNA (312 nucleotides) under uncultured bacterium. Its description in RNAcentral is "bacterial SSU rRNA". It matches the Rfam family "Bacterial small subunit ribosomal RNA", at positions 287 to 611 of the family's 1533-position model. The record is from RNAcentral.
CCGGCCUGAGAGGGCGACCGGCCACACUGGGACUGAGACACGGCCCAGACUCCUACGGGAGGCAGCAGUGGGGAAUAUUGCGCAAUGGGCGAAAGCCUGACGCAGCGACGCCGCGUGCGGGAUGAAGGCCUUCGGGUUGUAAACCCCUUUCAUCAGGGAAGAAGCGAAAGUGACGGUACCUGCAGAAGAAGCACCGGCUAACUAUGUGCCAGCAGCCGCGGUAAUACAUAGGGUGCAAGCGUUGUCCGGAAUUAUUGGGCGUAAAGAGCUCGUAUGUGGUUAGUCACGUCGGAUGUGAAAAUCCGGGGCUCA